UUUGGAUGAACUUGAUCGAACCAU
Molecule: non-coding RNA, 24 nt
Filed under: Arabidopsis thaliana (thale cress)
Lineage: Eukaryota; Viridiplantae; Streptophyta; Magnoliopsida; Brassicales; Brassicaceae
Source: RNAcentral